GAACUAUGAAUAUUUUAUUACACAGUCAGCCAUUCCAGAGGCUCAAAAGUAAUCGUACAGACAUACAAACAUAACUGGAUUGUUUUAAAAGGUUGUUUGAAAAUCAUUUGCAGUCAUUCUCUCCCUAAAGUCUAUAUCCAACGGACCAAUGUCUUUGCGAAACAAAUUAUGGACCUAACUGUACGCGCCCACUCAUGUGUGUCCGUGCUAUGAGCCAUAAUUUAUAUUUCUUGUUAAAAUAUUAAGCAAUGAAAUUAAUUCCUAAAAAAAAAAAAAAAAAAAAAAAAAUCAGAUGGUACAUUUUGAAUAAAGACCAGCCUCCGAUGUCGUGUUUUUUCUCUCCUCAUCUUGCACUCUAUCUGUUGUGGUUAAAUGUUUUGACUCGUGUCUUGGAGUUUCAUCAGAGUCUCCAUACGAGCUAAACAAAUACCUCAUCUCUCUUACUCUCACUCUACUGCUCAACUACUGGCAGCUUAGCUUCAUCUUCACUGCAUUCAAGUGGCCUUCAGCAGGACUGACUGAGAAACAUUGUGUGUGCGUUGCAGCAGGAGGUCAAGGAAAAAAGGACAGAACAUGUUUGUGUGUGUUCAUGCAGGGGCCCAGUAUAGGAAGACAUCCUCUCACACGGGGUAAUAUUUGGACGUUUGAAGACUAUUUUCAUAACUUUUCAAGCUGAUUCGGCCUCCCAUAACUUGUGGUGACCACCCACACAAUGACCCUUCACUGCCAACAACAAACAUGCACACUCGCAUGUUCAAAACAACACCAGUGCACACACAUCGCUGUGCAAAUAGUAUGUAUGCAGGGCCUUCUUGUUCUUGCCCUCUCAUGAUAAACAUGAUACAUGUCUGCCUCAUUGCAUACACAAAUCAGACUCACUACUAGAUGUAAGAUGUUUAUGUAUGUGUUUUGUACAAUAGGUUACAAAACUUGGACAACUUCAGGGAUGAUAUAACUGGUUUUAAAUGUCCCAAACCACAAUGACUGCAUUUUUUAAUUUAUGUCACUAAUGUAGCCAUAAUAUAAUUCAAUAAAGUCAUAUUUUCAGCCAAAGCUUUUAUUUUUAAUCAUUAUUGUUUCAUCAAAACACCUUAAAGUGAGGUUAGAUGUUCCAGUUAGCUCUACAUCUCUGUCGUGUUUAUCUUCUUUUGCUUUGAUUUCUACUAGAUAUCAAUAAGUAAACAUGUUUUUUUUAUGAUUCAGUUGAACAUCUAUAGAUGAUCACACGUAUCACUGUAUUGAUGGACAGGAGGAUGGCGGAGGAUGACCAAUGAAUCUUACACAGUGCAAACAUACACACGGUGCAAGCGUGUGGAUCAGUCACCUGCCGAAAACAAGGAGUAAAAUCAAUAAUAUUAGCCGCAGUGACACACAAACACACUCACACACUAAGCCGACUGACUGACUUUAGGAUUAAAGCCAGAGUUCAUCGAGGAUUUCAGAGUGACGGGGCUUCUCUUCAAUGAAAACUGUAAGCACAAGAAUCCCAGAGGAAGGGACACUGCUGCAUAAACUUGGAUGCUGAUGAUGCACAUGACAAAAAAACAUGUUUGAGUUCUUUUUCAAUUUUUGCUCCUAUAGUUUUGAUGGUGUUUUUCCAGUACAGAAUAACCAUUCAUGGUUUAUGUAUGUACCACACAUACACUGCUGCAUUUUUUGGCAAUGAUUUUCAAUUAACACAACCGAGUAGCAGUUUAAAUGUUGGGAAUGGUGACAACCCGUGCACAGAAGACUAUAGUGGACAAAAAUAUAUUAGAUCCGUAGUGGUUUAGGACUCCCAAAGAGAAGGAAUUGGAAACAGUUUCGGUAAAUGGUAGGUGGAUUAGUUCUUAUAUAGCACUUUUCUAUUCUACCUGAGCACUCAAAGCGCUGUCCAGGGAAAGUUUUGAAGCUACAGUUUAGAAAAGUUCAGUAACUGUCAUGUGUUUGAAUAUUGUUUAAUUCCUGAGUCUGUUCAAGGAAAGCAGUUGAGGACGUUCCCAAGCACGUCACAGUCUGACGUUUAACAUUGAGAAUAAAAAGAUAUUGCCUCCCCGUCGGGGAAUCGAACCCCGGUCUCCCGCGUGACAGGCGGGGAUACUCACCACUAUACUAACGAGGAAGGUGUCUUCGGACUCGUAUGUUCCAGGACCGAUCGUGACUCAACUAUGUCCACAGUGGGAUAGUAUUCCCGUUUCCCCGUUUUGAUACGUUAAGUUGUACACGCCUGUAAUGUGUAUCAAGUGUUACGUGCAAAUAAUAGCGGACAGAGAUUAUAAUGACUAGAAGCCUCAACGCAGAGUUCUCUACCGUCAACGAAAGACAUAAAACCUCUUCCAAAACAACCAUAAUGAACGUAUCACGUAUAAACUACAACAGCGCCAGAAGACUAUAGUGGACAAAAAUAUAUUACAUCCGUAGUGGUUUAGGACUCCCAUUCCCAAGAAUUGGAAACAGUUUCGGUAAAUGGUAGAUUGAUUAGUUCUUAUAUAGCACUUUUCUAUUCUACCUGAGCACUCAAAGCGCUGUCCAGGGAAAGUUUUGAAGCUACAGUUUAGAAAAGUUCAGUAACUGUCAUGUGUUUGAAUAUUGUUUAAUUCCUGAGUCUGUUCAAGGAAACCCUGAAACAUUAAGGACCUUCCCAAGGAUGUCACAGUCUGACCUUUAACAUUAAAAGAAUAAAAAGGUAAUGCCUUCCCGUCGCGGAAUAUUUUUGGCCACUACGCUCUUCCGGCGCUGUUGCGAGUUUGAGAUGCGGCGGCACUUUUAAAAAAUCUCCACUUUUACCUUUCGGGAGAGAACAAGUAACUCACCGCUCGCAACACAUCUCAACGAUCCUCGUUCAUUGAUCAAAGGUAAGAAACGUCGUUUAAAAUAAGAGUAAACCAACAGAAUAUAUUGUGUAUAUUACAGGUAAUAGGCGUGUUGCGACUGCAUUUACGAAGCAUCCAUCGUUUAGUUAAAGGCGGUGGGAGUUUAUCCGCUGUUGUAAAGUGGGACGGUAAAUCAUGAAUGAACCUGCUCCUUAAAUAAAUUGCGUGUUCCAUUGACGUGUUUUACUGUUAAAUAAACUUUGUAGGUUUCUGACUGCUGUGACACUGACAUUACUAUAAUGUAGUACAAUUAAAUAACCGAUAAGUGGCUUGUUAUGAGAUGACAUGCUAAAUGACUGAACCUGCUUUAAAAAAAUGUAUUGCUUUCAUGUUGUAAUGGUCAGUCACCUUAUCAAUGCGAAAGUCUGUCUCGAUAUCUCACUAACAUGAGCAAUGCCCACUCGUGUAUGAACACGAUAGCUUAAAUAGAUAUGUUGUUAAACUACCAGCAAUUCUUAUGUGCCAUGACAACUAAGCAGUUAUCACAAAUUUUGCAGAUAUGCCAAUAAUCAUUCAACCAUGAAAGGUUUUUAUUUACAGACAGAACAGUUUGUUAUACCUGGAGGAAAAAACACUUUUAUCCCAAAUGUUAUCAAUGUUCUUUCAAAUUGUGUCUCUUUAUUGUUCUCCUGCAUCCUGCUGUUAAGCCACAAUGUGCAGCAAGAUUAUAACCUGAAAUGUCUUUAUUUGUGUUUGGAAUUCAUUUUGUGGCGUUCUGUAAGGGGCCACUUGGAUACCUUCUCCAGGACCCGUCAAAAGAAGCUUCUCAAGCUUCAGGACAAGUCUGCACCUGUGAGGGAGGACGAUGCUCUGACUGUCAUCUAUCAGAGAGGAGGGGAUGCCUCUGACAUGAAGGAAGUGCAGGGAGAGUACAUCCUGCAGUUUGGAAAAUAUAAAGGGAAAUCUUUCCGGUGACUUCUGGAGAUUGAUGUCGGGUACACCAUGAACCUGAUCAAAGAUCUCCAGAAGCAAGAGGCUGCAGGGACCUCUGUGGAAGAAGGGCAUGGCAAGGAGAGCUUGCAUUCAUUUGUACAGUAUACCCUCAGCUUUACAGAGUUAAAGACUCUUCUGGACUAGGAGACCAGCAGAGUGAGUUUUGCAGCAGAAGCCUCUGAGGAUGAUCAGCUGGUUGGCUUUGGUUCACGAGCCAAGAGCACCUGGAAGGAGAUUUGGGACGGCAGAGGUGACGGCUAUGCAGACUUUAUCAUGAGGAAGAGCUGCAGUCAAGGAACAUGGAUGCAUAAGCUGCAGUAGUACCUGUGGAAGAAGCAGCAGUUUGCGCCUGCUACUACAAAUGCCCCAACUAAACAACCUCUUGGGAUGGAUGAGGAUAAAGACCUGGAGGAUGCAAUGCUGAGCAUCUCACCUGUAAAACUACACAUACAGAGCUCAGCAGCAGGGUCCACACCCAGAGGAUCUUCAGGAGCAAACAAAGGUUUUCAAAUGAAAGGUUUCAGAACUGGAGUAAAAUAGUUUUACAUGAAUUGCUCUGCAAAGCUGAGCCUGAACGUGAACUUUUAUAUAUUGUCUUGUUCUUGUGCGUUCUGGCCAUGUUCCAGAGAUGUUCCUCUAAUAGUAUAGUUGUAUGCUGGCUGUAUGGUGGAAGAAAACAGUUGAUGUUGUACAUGAGACAGUUUUGUUCUAGUUGUGAAUGUUUCUUUUGUUUAUAUAAAUAAAAACUGAUUAUAAACAUAAAAGUGUAAAUAAAUAGUUUUCUGCAAAAAUAUCAACACAGUUUUCUUCUUAGAGUUCACCUAUAUGUUUAUAUAUCUGUGUGUGCUCACCAUCAG
This is a long non-coding RNA of Haplochromis burtoni (Burton's mouthbrooder), 4642 nucleotides long. RefSeq lists it as uncharacterized. The transcript has 3 exons. Lineage: Eukaryota; Metazoa; Chordata; Actinopteri; Cichliformes; Cichlidae. The record is from RefSeq and is a predicted model, not a curated record.